UCUGGCGAUGAUGAGCCACUUGCCCUCGCUGAGAACGAAGUUCGGUAAUGAGACUCUUUGUUACGGACUCAAGUUCUGAGCCAGA
Small nucleolar RNA from Ailuropoda melanoleuca (giant panda), 85 nucleotides. Lineage: Eukaryota; Metazoa; Chordata; Mammalia; Carnivora; Ursidae. The record is from Ensembl.